Molecule: long non-coding RNA, 5341 nt
Filed under: Mus musculus (house mouse)
Lineage: Eukaryota; Metazoa; Chordata; Mammalia; Rodentia; Muridae
Description: DNA binding protein with his-thr domain
Source: RNAcentral
UUUUUUUUUUUUUUUUUUUUUUUUUUGUCGUUGAUGAUUAUUCUUAUUUGGUCUGGGCAGACCUUUUUUCUAAGAAUGAGCUGUAAUAAAUUAGCAUUGCACAUAGGAUCAUCUUUAAGUUCUACGGGUUGAUUAAAACUUGUCAUGGGCCUUUAAGAGUUUAGACUUUAUUAUGAGCUUUUUUUUUUUUUUCCUUAUAGGCUGUGAAGCUCAGGAAAUGGGUAGGCAGGAAGAACAUGGUUUUUUAGUAGGUUUAUACGUUUUUUAAAAACCUGCUCUGGAAAGUUGGUGAGAAUGACAGAAUUUAGACAUGAUGAUAUUGCUUCACCUUGCUAAGAGCUCACUCGAGGUGCCAGAGUAAGACAUUGCACUGAUUUUUGUACAGUAGUCGAUCGCUUACCGCUUAACAAAAUGUCAGAGAAUGCCUUUGGGGAGAAUUCUAGAUAAGUUCCUAUGUUUUACAGUUUGAAGGGCGAUGAUUUAACGAGUUGGAUAGGUUUAUGAAAUUGCUGGAAGUGAUUCAUCGUGUUUUUCGAGGUUUGAGUGAGACGUCUGAAUCCAGGGUCUGAGGUUUUUGUCCUAUGGAGUAUUUCAUUUAAAGAACUGUUACUGAUAAAAUUGACUGGGGAAACUAGGUGCCAAAGGUGUAUUUAAGAAAAUACCAAAGACUCAAAGAUUAGUGUUAGGGAGACUAUGGCCGAGAAGCCAGCAAAGGCAAGAUUCUAAACCAAGCAGUGCAGGGGUGGUGUGGAAAUCCUGCUAAGGGCUUACUGGUGUGCUUUCUAAGCUUUGGAGAGAAUGAUGACAGACAGGAAGACAAUACUAGAUCAAGAUAAUCAAGCUUUUGUAGCUCAAAUAUGGCCACUGUCCACACAGUGUCAUCCCCAGCUGAGGCUCUGACUUGUAACGAGGCUGUCCGCAUCUUACUGUACGGAUUCCUCACUUGGCCCCUUGGUGAAUCACUAAAGUGAUGUGCUCAAAGAAUACAGGGGCUCUAACUGCUUUGUAUUGUGCAAGAUUACAAAGAUGCCCAGUUGAUCCAAGUGUCAGAUUUAUCAAUCAACAUUAAGGAAAUUACGUUAGAAUAAAGUACCAUUUAUAAUAAGAGGUUAAAUCAAGUCAGUAUGAAUGGUGAGAUGUCUUUGAAAUCCAUAUAUAAAUAUUUAAAAUGUUUUGGAUUUAAUUGGAGAGCAAGAUUUGGCACAGACUUUUAAUAUUUUUAUUUUACUGCUUAUAAAAGGCUUCAUUUCUCAGAAAACUUCUUUCAAAAAUAUUGAUUUAUUUAAAAUAGAGACUAGUCUGAAACUCCAAAUUUGAUAGGAUUAGUAUGCCAUUAUAAGUCUAAAAAAUAGAAUCAGUUAUCUAAUGCUUUUUAAGUUUUUACUGAAAUGCACACCUGGUGUGACUUAUGUUAAGGUCUCUAAGAAGAGGCCACCAACGAUAACAGGAGUGACAUUGUAAAAAUGCACAUGCUUACAAAGGCUAAGUAUAGAAAGAUGCUUAUUUUGGGAUAGAAGGGAUAAGAGGAGGAAAAAUCAAGAAAGUGUAAAUUUGUAAUAUUUCCUGUGUGUCAGAAACAUUAAACAAAGCCAGAACUCCCAGACAAAGAACCAGUAACAGAUGUAAAAAUCCAUUUUAUUUCAAGACAUCGUACCUGAGUGCUUUGAUCUAUACAUUCGUAUAUAAGCUGUCUUAGAAGCCAGUGGUAUCUGUGAUUCUACUUUUAUUUAAAUAUGCAUUGAUUUAAAAACAGAUUAUUUAAAAAACACCUUUUAGUGGAAAUAAUUUUCCCUAAUAAACAGCUCAUAGAUAAGGAGUUGACAAGUGUUAUCUUGAUUUUUUUUCUAACUUGUAUUUAAAUUCUGCAGACUCUCCCGGGUUAGCCCGUGGAUAGCUGUGACUUCCCCAGGGCAUGCUGGGAUAUAGGGAGAUUCUAUCCAGGUUUGCUUUGAUCAUGACUUCUGCAUGUUUCACUAUGGGUGGUGCCAGCAUCUAUUACAGCUCUUUUGUCUCGAGGCAUCCUUCCUUUGGAGACAGAAGCCAUCCUUGGGAUGAGGGAACUGAGAUGAGCAAUCUGAGCAUCAUUGAUAUACAGCCCUCCUGAGGGUGGUGUGGCAAAAAGAACACACACAGAGAUGCACACACACACACACACACACAUACACACAGAGAGAUGGAGACUCAUGCAAGUAUGCACACACAAACACACAGACAUACAGAUACACAUAUACACACAUGCACACAUGAGAGAAACAGACACAAAGAGAUGGAGAAGCAGAGAUACUCGUGGAUACACACAGAUGCUCACACACACAGAGACACACACAGAUAUAUGCAGAUACACACAUAGAUAUAUACACAGAUAUGCAUGCACAGACACCCUCCCAACACACACACACACACACACACACACACACACACACACACACACACACACACAUGAACCUGGCAAUGAAGAACACACAGACACUAGGAAAGGAGGUGAGAAAUACAGAGAAAAUCAAGGACCAGGGGAGUGGUGACAGGCGGGGCCCCUAAGUGAAAGACUAGAUUGUUCCAUGAGAGGGUCUAUUGCUUGCUGUGCUCAUGUUCUCCUUCCUGUGGCCACUGAACAUAAAACACCUGCCGCCUGAGUGGAUGGAUUCAGCCAUGAUGACUAACCUUAGAUUCCACUCAGCACAGAUGAGGUUUGAACAGUGAAAUAUGGGAUUACCUCAAAAUGCCGCUGAACCUGGACUCUGAACAGACUAGUGAAGAAAAACAAAACAAAACAAAACAAAACAACCCAGAAACUACAGCUGGAGGAGAUGCUAAAUCCUGAGGCUGUGUACAAGUGCAUAUAUUCAAAUGCAUGGGCCACAUCUCAAGAUUAAGCAAGUCGGUGCCCAGGGACUCAGAAGUACAGUUCAGCACUCACUAAAACACUCCUAGGGUUGAACACUGUGCCAGACCUGGGGGCAUGACCUGAGCGACACACAGCCACCUUGCUCAGUUUCCCUAGAAGAUGACAGAGAGAAUUUGACACUUGCCUCUUCUUUCCCAAAUUGGAAUGUUUACCCAACAUCUUUCUCCAAAAGUGUUUGCAGGCAAUAAGAUGCACAGGGAAGAGGGAGUUUUGUUCACACAGAGCAGGUCCGGAAAGGGAUGCACACACUGUGCCUCACAGCCUACUUUACGCUGGCAAGCAUAGGAUGCUUGUGUUGCCUGGGGUACUGAGGCUAGUCUACACUCCCCUCAGAUGUUUGCUUGGGAGGUGGCAGGGAAACAAAUUCAAGUAUUCAACAACCCCUCCAUCUUUCUAGUUUUUUGUUCUUUUAUAGGGUGAAUCAGGUUAAUAUUGAUGUCAAGGAAAGCUGUAAAGGACAAUCAUAAUGGGUAGAUCAUGGCCUAAAGCUGGGUCUGGCAUGAAUAAGGUCAGAGAGGCAGCUUUUGUUCAUGUGUCUUUUGAUUUGAAUGGAUUUGGGGAUUUUUUUUUUUUAAAUCACCUGCUACUGAAGCUAUCUUCUCUCUGUCCCAUGAGCUGCCUCUCUGACUUGCAGUUUGUCCCUAAUCCCCAGUUGUCUUCUGUCCAUUCUCUCUUGCAUGGACAUUGAUCUGCCCAGAGAUAGUCAUAGGAGGAUAAUAGCUUAAAAAUUCUGGCCGAGUUCCUCAGCCAGAAGAGUUCCAGAGUUUACCAAACUAGAAUCCAUUCAUGGUAACAUUAUUGAUUGAACACAAUUCUUGUUAAAAAAGUGACCAGACUUAGUCACUGAGUGCUUGUGAGGUAAGGUAGUUUUCUUGUUUCUAGAAUUCAGUGUAAUAGUUACAUUUUGCUGAGAAAAAUCCCCGUGUUGGAAACAAUCAAAGAUUGUAUAUAAUUAAUUCAAAUACUUUAUGUAAUAUAUGUCAACUUACAUAUUCUUAAACUUUAUUACUAUAUGUUAGCAACAUGACAAGUGCCAUUUUUUGAAAGAGUGAAUCAUGUCUAAAAAUUGUUACAUUUUGGGACAAAAUUUCCACAUGAAGAUAAUUCUGUCUUUCCUCAAGGCUUGUUUUAUACAGUUGGCUGAGUUAAGAACAUUCCUCUGGUUUGGUACUUCUGAAAUCCCCUUGGACAUUCAGUUUCUUGUUAAAAACAUAAGUUCUUUUUUUUUUUUUUAAAGUCUUCAAUGGGACCCAUGUCUUCAUUUGUCAGUAUUUUUGAGUAAAUGCUAUUUUGAAUAGAAAGGUUAUUUGUAAUUUCAAGAUGGAACUGCUAAUGUAAGCGUACACGUGGAUGCUUGUGUGUGUUUUCCAUAGCACAUUUUUUGUUUUUUGUUUUUUUUGUUUUUUCUUUUAAGAAACAUAAAACACAGAUGGGCGUGAGUCUCGCACGACUGCAAUCCCAGUGCCUAUGAGGUAGAGGCAAGAGGGUCAGGAGGUCAAGAUUUCCUCAGCUGUGUAGUGACUUAGAGAUCAGCCCUGGGCCACAUGCAACAGCCUUGUCUUAAGGGGGGGGGCAGAGGGAAAGAAAUAAAUGGCAAAAAGAAAUAUCACAAAGCCAUAAAGCAUUUGUCCCAAAUAGUCACAAAUAUAACACAGUGUAAUGUGCGUGGAAAUUGAUUUUGAUGGUUGGAAGUUUGGGUCCAAAUCAAAUGCAUAAGUGGAGCAUGAGUAAGGGUUCUGUCACUGUCUUAACCAGUCAGUGCAUUUCUCCCCUCCGUGGGGAGCUCCACAUGACCACACUGGAACAAGCGUAAAACGCUUCCAGAGUUAACAAGACUUUGACAAUCUAUUGCUUGGUCAAAUCUGUAGCAGUAGUUCAAAAUACUCUAUGUUAAACUCAAGAUUCUAGGUGUUGGCAACUCCAAGCUAGAAAGUCACCCCGGGCUGUUUCCUUUACCCCUUGGUUCAAAACUCCAUUUGAGCUCUAUUCUUUGCAAGAUCCUGCCCCUGCCAGGGAUCCCCCCUUCUCCCCCAGUUAUGGAGGUGGAGAAGGAUCAAUGUAAAUGAAGAGUUGCAUAAGUUGUCUAGUUUGAGCAUGGCAAGCGGUUUUGUCAGGCUCUCUUCUGGUCAUGAGUUCUUGGUAUCGCUAUUGUGAAAUCCUGUGUCAUAAUAACCCAUUAAUGAAGGGAGAGCAGCAGAAGUCUGGCUCCGUGGGAACGCACUCAGAUGCGGAGCAGAUGGCGUUCUACAACAUUUAUUUUUGGGGAAAUGUGUAUCUGUUACAUAACCUAAAAUAUGUCUUUUUCACUUUUAAAAAUAUUUGGGUCAUGGUUUGAAGUUUUGAUUGGAUUUUUUUUAAGUUGGGAGGAAGAAGAAAGGUAACUGUAUUUUACGACGUAUUUGACAUGUUACUAAUAAAAUUUUAUUACUGGCAAAA